RNAcentral lists this ribosomal RNA (503 nucleotides) under uncultured bacterium. Its description in RNAcentral is "partial 16S ribosomal RNA". It matches the Rfam family "Bacterial small subunit ribosomal RNA", at positions 30 to 523 of the family's 1533-position model. The record is from RNAcentral.
AUUGAACGCUGGCGGCAGGCUUAACACAUGCAAGUCGAGCGGGGUGAUGGUGCUUGCACUAUCACUUAGCGGCGGACGGGUGAGUAAUGCUUAGGAAUCUGCCUAUUAGUGGGGGACAACAUCUCGAAAGGGAUACUAAUACCGCAUACGUCCUACGGGAGAAAGCAGGGGAUCACUUGUGACCUUGCGCUAAUAGAUGAGCCUAAGUCGGAUUAGCUAGUUGGUGGGGUAAAGGCCUACCAAGGCGACGAUCUGUAGCGGGUCUGAGAGGAUGAUCCGCCACACUGGGACUGAGACACGGCCCAGACUCCUACGGGAGGCAGCAGUGGGGAAUAUUGGACAAUGGGGGGAACCCUGAUCCAGCCAUGCCGCGUGUGUGAAGAAGGCCUUAUGGUCGUAAAGCACUUUAAGCGAGGAGGAGGCUCUUUUGGUUAAUACCCAAGAUGAGUGGACGUUACUCGCAGAAUAAGCACCGGCUAACUCUGUGCCAGCAGCCGCAGUAA